GACGAACGCUGGCGGCGUGCUUAACACAUGCAAGUCGAACGGUGAACCUCUUCGGUGGGGAUCCGUGGCGUACGGGUGAGUGACACGUGGGCAACCUGAUCCCGGCCCUGGGAUACCUGCAAGAAAUCGGGACUCCUACUGUAUGUUCACCGCUUCUCGCGUGGCUGGUGGUGGAAAGGGUUUCCGGCUGGGGGUGGGCCCGAGGCCUAUCAGCUGCUUGGUAGGGUAGUGGCGUACCAACACGACGACGGGUAGCCGGCCCUGGAGGGUGACCGGCCCCAAUGGGACUGAGAGACGGCGCAGACGCCUACGGGAGGCAGCAGGGGGGAAUAUUGCGCAACGGGGGGGAGCCUGAGGCAGAGGCGCCGCGUGGGGGAUGACGGCCUUCGGGUUGUAAACCUCUUUCUACAGGGACGAAGCGCAAGUGACGGUACCUGCAGAAGAAGCACCGGCUAACUACGUG
This 463-nucleotide ribosomal RNA is filed under the name uncultured bacterium. RNAcentral describes it as "partial 16S ribosomal RNA". It matches the Rfam family "Bacterial small subunit ribosomal RNA", at positions 28 to 507 of the family's 1533-position model. The record is from RNAcentral.